This 385-nucleotide ribosomal RNA is filed under the name uncultured crenarchaeote. RNAcentral's name for it is "bacterial SSU rRNA". It matches the Rfam family "Archaeal small subunit ribosomal RNA", at positions 474 to 859 of the family's 1478-position model. Lineage: Archaea; Thermoproteati; Thermoproteota. The record is from RNAcentral.
UACCAGCACCCCGAGUGGUCGGGACGAUUAUUGGGCCUAAAGCAUCCGUAGCCGGUCCUGCAAGUCCUCCGUUAAAUCCACCCGCUCAACGGUUGGGCCGCGGGGGAUACUACAGGGCUAGGAGGCGGGAGAGGCAAGCGGUACUCGAUGGGUAGGGGUAAAAUCCACUGAUCCAUUGAAGACCACCAGUGGCGAAGGCGGCUUGCCAGAACGCGCUCGACGGUGAGGGAUGAAAGCUGGGGGAGCAAACCGGAUUAGAUACCCGGGUAGUCCCAGCUGUAAACGAUGUAGACUCGGUGAUGGGCUGGCUUCGUGCCAACCCGGUGCCGCAGGGAAGCCGUUAAGUCUGCCGCCUGGGGAGUACGGUCGCAAGACUGAAACUUAA